AUUAGCUGGAGAGUUUGAUCCUGGCUCAGGACGAACGCUGGCGGCGUGCCUAACACAUGCAAGUCGAGCGGGCCUGUCAAGGCGUUAUGUUUUGGCAGGUUUAGCGGCGGACGGGUGAGUAACGCGUGAGCAACCUACCCUUGAGACAGGGAUAACCCUGGGAAACCGGGGCUAAUACCUGAUAUACUCUAUUAGGGCAUCCUGAUGGAGGAAAGGGCGGGAAGCCGCUCAAGGAUGGGCUCGCGUCCCAUCAGCUAGUUGGUGAGGUAACGGCUCACCAAGGCGACGACGGGUAGCCGGCCUGAGAGGGUGGUCGGCCACACUGGGACUGAGACA
This 336-nucleotide ribosomal RNA is filed under the name Caldanaerobacter subterraneus. Its description in RNAcentral is "bacterial SSU rRNA". It matches the Rfam family "Bacterial small subunit ribosomal RNA", at positions 1 to 326 of the family's 1533-position model. The record is from RNAcentral. Lineage: Bacteria; Bacillati; Bacillota; Clostridia; Thermoanaerobacterales; Thermoanaerobacteraceae.